Molecule: non-coding RNA, 1639 nt
Organism: Acyrthosiphon pisum (pea aphid)
Lineage: Eukaryota; Metazoa; Arthropoda; Insecta; Hemiptera; Aphididae
Source: Rfam
CGCCGGCUUUACCUGGUACACCGCGUGAACCGCGUGCGAAGCCGGCGACGGAACCCUAGGCGCUUAGUGGGCCAUUUUUGGUAAGCAGAACUGGCGCUGCGGGAUGAACCGAACGCCGAGUUAAGGCGCCGAAAUCGACGCGUAUUCAGAGACCAUGAAAGGCGUUGGUUGCUGAUGACAGCAGGACGGUGGCCAUGGAAGUCGGAAUCCGCUAAGGAGUGUGUAACAACUCACCUGCCGAAGCAACUAGCUCUGAAAAUGGAUGGCGCUGGAGCGUCGUGCCUAUACUCGGCCGUCGACGGCAUAGUGGGGCCAGUCGUCGCUCGCGGCGGCCGGUCCCGGCAAGCCUCGACGAGUAGGAUGGCGCGGCGGUGUGCGUCGAAGGGCAGGUCGCGAGACCGCCUGGAGCCGCCGUCGGUGCAGAUCUUGGUGGUAGUAGCAAAUACUCGAGAGGGGCCCUCGGGGGCUGCCGUGGAGAAGGGUUUCUUGUGAACAGCCGUUGUCCAAGAGUCAGUCGAUCCUAAGCCCGGGGAGAGAUCCUCGUACCACGGGCGAAGGCGUUUUCGAAUCGCCCUUGGGGCGAGAGGGAAUCCGGUUCGUAUUCCGGAACCCGACGCGGAACCGCUCCCUAGUGUUCGGGGCUCUUUUGUCUCGUCUGGGUAACCAGAAUGAACUCGAAGAAGCCGCCGGGGGAUCUGGGUAGAGUUCUCUUUUCUCUGUGAGCGUUGUACGUCCCUGGAAUCCUCUAGCCGGGCGAUAGGGACGCGAGCGCGAAGAGCACCGCUCGUUGCGGCGGUGUCCGUGAUCCCCACGCGGACCUUGAAAAUUCGAGAGAGGGCCACGCGGAGUCUUCGCGUCGGUUCGUACCGAUAUCCGCAGCAGGUCUCCGAGGUGAGCAGCCUCUAGCCGCAUAGAAUAAUGUAGGUAAGGGAAGUCGGCAAAACCGAUCCGUAACUUCGGGAUAAGGAUUGGCUCUGAGGAGCGUGGCUGCCGGGUUCGGGUCGUCGUAGAAGCGUAGGCGUUUUUGGCGACACCCCGGCCGUCGCCCGUGCGCCCGGUCUUCGGAACGGGAGCCUCGAGGCGGCCGCGGGCCCGUCGCCGUCCGCCGACCGUGGAACCACCGAGCUUCGGUCGCUGGCCGCGUCGCGGCCGGCCGACCGCCUUGGUGUCGGUUCGCCGUCACCGGGCGGUCCGGCCGCCGCGCCGUCGGUCGCGUAGCCGGAUCGACAGCCAUGUAACGGUCAACUCAGAACUGGCACGGACCAGGGGAAUCCGACUGUCUAAUUAAAACAAAGCAUCGCGAUGGCCCGGGACGGGUGUUGACGCGAUGUGAUUUCUGCCCAGUGCUCUGAAUGUCAACGUGAAGAAAUUCAAGCAAGCGCGGGUAAACGGCAGGAGUAACUAUGACUCUUUUAAGGUAGCCAAAUGCCUCGUCAUCUAAUUAGUGACGCGCAUGAAUGGAUUAACGAGAUUCUCACUGUCCCUAUCUACUAUCUAGCGAAACCACAGCCCAAGGAACGGGCUUGGAAAAAUCAGCGGGGAAAGAAGACCCUGUUGAGCUUGACUCUAAUCUGGCAUUGUUCGGAGACAUGCCGAGGUGUAGCAUACGUGGGAGACCCGGACCAAGGCGGGCGGUUUC